This 252-nucleotide ribosomal RNA is filed under the name uncultured bacterium. RNAcentral describes it as "partial 16S ribosomal RNA". It matches the Rfam family "Bacterial small subunit ribosomal RNA", at positions 524 to 776 of the family's 1533-position model. The record is from RNAcentral.
UACGUAGGUCCCGAGCGUUGUCCGGAUUUAUUGGGCGUAAAGCGAGCGCAGGUGGUUUAUUAAGUCUGGUGUAAAAGGCAGUGGCUCAACCAUUGUAUGCAUUGGAAACUGGUAGACUUGAGUGCAGGAGAGGAGAGUGGAAUUCCAUGUGUAGCGGUGAAAUGCGUAGAUAUUAGGAGGAACACCAGUGGCGAAGGCGGUCUGCUGGACAGUAACUGACGGUGAGGCGCGAAAGCGUGGGGAGCAAACAGG